This is a long non-coding RNA of Sander lucioperca (pikeperch), 156 nucleotides long. RefSeq lists it as uncharacterized. The transcript is spliced from 3 exons. Lineage: Eukaryota; Metazoa; Chordata; Actinopteri; Perciformes; Percidae. The record is from RefSeq and is a predicted model, not a curated record.
ACUUACUCAAUAAUAAAGAAUGUUUGUGCGCGCCGCUUUCUGUAUCACCUUCACUUUGUGUACAUGUCGGCCUAAUUACUGGAAUGGAUUUGUUAGAUAAGAAGAUUGAUACCGCUCUCCAUGUUUGUCCCUUUAGUGUGAAGCUGGAGUGAGGAG